RNAcentral lists this ribosomal RNA (492 nucleotides) under uncultured bacterium. RNAcentral describes it as "partial 16S ribosomal RNA". It matches the Rfam family "Bacterial small subunit ribosomal RNA", at positions 29 to 507 of the family's 1533-position model. The record is from RNAcentral.
AGUGAACGCUGGCGGUAUGCCUAACACAUGCAAGUCGAACGGCAGCACAGUAAGAGCUUGCUCUUACGGGUGGCGAGUGGCGGACGGGUGAGGAAUACAUCGGAAUCUACUUUUUCGUGGGGGAUAACGUAGGGAAACUUACGCUAAUACCGCAUACGACCUACGGGUGAAAGCAGGGGAUCUUCGCACCUUGCGCGAUUGAAUGAGCCGAUGUCGGAUUAGCUAGUUGGCGGGGUAAAGGCCCACCAAGGCGACGAUCGGUAGCUGGUCUGAGAGGCUGAUCAGCCACCCUGGAACUGAGACACGGUCCAGACUCCUACGGGAGGGAGCAGUGGGGAAUAUGGGACAGUGGGCGCAAGCCUGAUCCAGCCAUACCGAGUGGGUGAAGAAGGCCUUCGGGUUGGAAAGACGUUUUGUGGGGAAAGAAAAGCAGCAGGUUAAUACGCAGCUGUUGUGACGGUAAUCAAAGAAUAAGCACCGGCUAACUUCGUG